UGGGGAAUAUUGGACAAUGGGCGAAAGCCUGAUCCAGCCAUGCCGCGUGUGUGAAGAAGGUCUUCGGUUUGUAAAGCACUUUAAGUUUGGAGGAAGGGCAGUAAGCGAAUACCUUGCUGUUUUGACGUUACCGACAGAAUAAGCACCGGCUAACUCUGUGCCAGCAGCCGCGGUAAUACAGAGGGUGCAAGCGUUAAUCGGAAUUACUGGGCGUAAAGCGCGCGUAGGUGGUUUGUUAAGUUGAAUGUGAAAGCCCCGGGCUCAACCGGGGAACUGCAUCCAAAACAGGCGAGCUAGAGUAGGGCAGAGGGUGGUGGAAUUUCCUGUGUAGCGGUGAAAUGCGUAGAUAUAGGAAGGAACACCAGUGGCGAAGGCGACCACCUGGGAUCAUACUGACACUGAGGUGCGAAAGCGUGGGGAGCAAACAGG
RNAcentral lists this ribosomal RNA (429 nucleotides) under Pseudomonadota bacterium. Its description in RNAcentral is "Proteobacteria bacterium partial 16S ribosomal RNA". It matches the Rfam family "Bacterial small subunit ribosomal RNA", at positions 355 to 776 of the family's 1533-position model. Lineage: Bacteria; Pseudomonadati; Pseudomonadota. The record is from RNAcentral.